This 904-nucleotide ribosomal RNA is filed under the name Amanita flavorubens. RNAcentral describes it as "partial 28S ribosomal RNA". It matches the Rfam family "Eukaryotic large subunit ribosomal RNA", at positions 49 to 940 of the family's 3401-position model. The record is from RNAcentral. Lineage: Eukaryota; Fungi; Basidiomycota; Agaricomycetes; Agaricales; Amanitaceae.
AGCGGAGGAAAAGAAACUAACAAGGAUUCCCUUAGUAACUGCGAGUGAAGAGGGAAAAGCUCAAAUUUAAAAUCUGGCAGUGUUUCACUGUCCGAGUUGUAACCUAGAGAAGUGUAACCUGCGCUGGACCGUGUAUAAGUCUCCUGGAAUGGAGCAUCACUGAGGGUGAGAAUCCCGUCUUUGACACGGACCACCAGUGCAUUGUGGUUGUGCUCUCAACGAGUCGAGUUGUUUGGGAAUGCAGCUCUAAAUGGGUGGUAAAUUCCAUCUAAAGCUAAAUAUUGGCGAGAGACCGAUAGCGAACAAGUACCGUGAGGGAAAGAUGAAAAGAACUUUGGAAAGAGAGUUAAACAGUAUGUGAAAUUGUUGAAAGGGAAACGUUUGAAGUCAGUCGCGUCGGUUGGGGAUCAGCCUGACAUUGUUGGGUGUACUUCCUGGUUGACGGGCCAACAUCAGUUUUGAUUGCCAGAAAAAGGCCAAAGGAAUGUGGCACCUUUGGGUGUGUUAUAGCCCUUGGUCGUAUAUGGUGGUUGGGACUGAGGAAAGCAGCGUGCCGAAAGGCCGGGUUUCGACCACGUUCACGCUGAGGAUGUUGGCAUAAUGGCUUUAAGCGACCCGUCUUGAAACACGGACCAAGGAGUCUAACAUGCAUGCGAGUGUUUGGGUGGAAAACCCUUACGCGUAAUGAAAGUGAAAGUUGAGAUCCCUGUCGUGGGGAGCAUCGACGCCCGGACCAGAACUUUUGGGACGGAUCUGCGGUAGAGCACGUAUGUUGGGACCCGAAAGAUGGUGAACUAUGCCUGAAUAGGGUGAAGCCAGAGGAAACUCUGGUGGAGGCUCGUAGCGAUUCUGACGUGCAAAUCGAUCGUCAAAUUUGGGUAUAGGGGCGAAAGACUAAUCGAAC